UCCAGAAUUCCUCGAGGACCGGUGCAACAGCCUCUGGAGGAUCGGAUCUUCCCUCCCACGGUCUCUGCAGUCUAUAGCACGGUAACACAAGUAGCAAGACAGCCAGGACCCCCGACCCCUUCCCCUUACUCAGCACAUGAAAUAAACAAGGGGCACCCCAAUCUUGCGGCCACGCCCCCGGGACAUGCAUCGUCCCCUGGACUCUCUCAAACCCCUUAUCCCUCUGGACAGAAUGCAGGUCCAGCCACAUUGGUCUAUCCUCAAGCCCCUCAGACAAUGAAUUCACAACCUCAGGCCCGGUCUCCGUUUUUCCAGAGGCCUCAAAUCCAGCCUCCCAGAGCGGCCAUCCCAAACAGCAGUCCUUCCCUCCGUCCUGGUGCGCAGACCCCCACCGCCGUGUAUCAGGCC
RNAcentral lists this long non-coding RNA (408 nucleotides) under Rattus norvegicus (Norway rat). RNAcentral describes it as "long non-coding RNA NONRATT022772". The record is from RNAcentral. Lineage: Eukaryota; Metazoa; Chordata; Mammalia; Rodentia; Muridae.